CCUGGCUCAGAUUGAACGCUGGCGGCAGGCCUAACACAUGCAAGUCGAGCGGAUGACGGGAGCUUGCUCCUUGAUUCAGCGGCGGACGGGUGAGUAAUGCCUAGGAAUCUGCCUGGUAGUGGGGGACAACGUUUCGAAAGGAACGCUAAUACCGCAUACGUCCUACGGGAGAAAGCAGGGGACCUUCGGGCCUUGCGCUAUCAGAUGAGCCUAGGUCGGAUUAGCUAGUAGGUGAGGUAAUGGCUCACCUAGGCGACGAUCCGUAACUGGUCUGAGAGGAUGAUCAGUCACACUGGAACUGAGACACGGUCCAGACUCCUACGGGAGGCAGCAGUGGGGAAUAUUGGACAAUGGGCGAAAGCCUGAUCCAGCCAUGCCGCGUGUGUGAAGAAGGUCUUCGGAUUGUAAAGCACUUUAAGUUGGGAGGAAGGGCAGUAAGUUAAUACCUUGCUG
This 453-nucleotide ribosomal RNA is filed under the name Pseudomonas sp. VV18. Its description in RNAcentral is "bacterial SSU rRNA". It matches the Rfam family "Bacterial small subunit ribosomal RNA", at positions 18 to 471 of the family's 1533-position model. The record is from RNAcentral. Lineage: Bacteria; Pseudomonadati; Pseudomonadota; Gammaproteobacteria; Pseudomonadales; Pseudomonadaceae.